RNAcentral lists this ribosomal RNA (252 nucleotides) under uncultured Gardnerella sp. RNAcentral describes it as "partial 16S ribosomal RNA". It matches the Rfam family "Bacterial small subunit ribosomal RNA", at positions 103 to 355 of the family's 1533-position model. The record is from RNAcentral. Lineage: Bacteria; Bacillati; Actinomycetota; Actinomycetes; Bifidobacteriales; Bifidobacteriaceae.
CGGGUGAGUAAUGCGUGACCAACCUGCCCCAUGCUCCAGAAUAGCUCUUGGAAACGGGUGGUAAUGCUGGAUGCUCCAACUUGACGCAUGUCUUGUUGGGAAAGUGUUUAGUGGCAUGGGAUGGGGUCGCGUCCUAUCAGCUUGUAGGCGGGGUAAUGGCCCACCUAGGCUUCGACGGGUAGCCGGCCUGAGAGGGUGGACGGCCACAUUGGGACUGAGAUACGGCCCAGACUCCUACGGGAGGCAGCAGCU